UUUCGGCUGUUGUUGGCUGGGAACAUUUUCGGAACCAAGCACUCCUCCCCAUUGAAGAACACUUUUGUGGGGAACCCAUCUCCUGCGGCCAUGUUAAGGCCUUGUAUGUUCUUCUUUGUAAAUGAGAUCACAGAUUGCUGUUUUCCAGGUACUCGUGGAUCCUUCACUGGGUUCGGCCCGUCUGUUUCUCCCACAAGAUAGUUAAGUCCAGGAUGACCCUGCAUAAAGAUGGUAUUGUUCAAACCAUCCAAUUCCAAGGUGGUUGCAUUGAAUGAGUACAUUGCCUGGAAACCAGGUGCUGCUUUGUUCAUCUGAACUGCAGCAAACCAAUCUGCAAAAUUCACUUCGCCCCAGUUGAAGAGAGUGAUCCUUGCACUCCAUCCAUCUCUAUAAUCAGUAUACAGAUGCCAAUUGAUGCUGACACCGCAGUUAUCCGCACAAGGCAUCGGGUUAGGAGAUGGGUAAUGUUUAAG
Molecule: long non-coding RNA, 473 nt
Filed under: Cucumis sativus (cucumber)
Lineage: Eukaryota; Viridiplantae; Streptophyta; Magnoliopsida; Cucurbitales; Cucurbitaceae
Description: long non-coding RNA (CSAT_LNC000954)
Source: RNAcentral